Molecule: non-coding RNA, 96 nt
Organism: Immersiella caudata
Lineage: Eukaryota; Fungi; Ascomycota; Sordariomycetes; Sordariales; Lasiosphaeriaceae
Source: the annotation of a GenBank genome assembly
GGUUGUGUAGUGUAGUGGUUAUCACUCUGGAUUUUGACUUGAUGCUUGCACUCGAUCAAGCUUCCAGUAACCCCGGUUCGAACCCGGGCACGACCU